CAUUCUUAGAACUGCUGCUUUGGGCCCUCUGCCCUAACUGUUCUCAUCCCUUGGAGACCUCUGCACAAAAGUUGGAAAUGUAACACCAAGGAAAGUUCUGGAUGUGCAGGAGCUUGGUUUAUACUUCCUGGUUUAUUCAUCACUCAAAAAAGACACACAAAUGUUGCUCUUGAGUCAUGCCUGAUCACUGACUGCAGUGUUCCAAGGCAUGAGACCUCUCCGUGAAGAGUGCUUCUUUGGGGAGCUGUGGAACAAAAUGGCAGCAAGCAUUUACAGCCAUCCAGCUAAGGAAAAAAAGAUGAAUCCUGGAUCAUUAGUCAUCAAUUGCUGCUGAUUGGGAAAGUGUAACUAGAACAUUCUAAAUCCCUAUUCACCCUAGAUAGAGAAGGCAAAGACAGACGAAAAAGAAAAUGCCAUCCAAGCCUAGCCUGAUGAACCAAUGAGAUUAUCGGGGUUAAGGAGCAUGGAUACCUACCUGCAAAGCGGCUUCAUGGUGGGAAAGAAAGCCCUGGUGAAGAAUGGGUGUGCAAGCUGAAGUCUCCAUCUGCCUCUGCUACACUCCGGGAGUUGGAGAAGAGAUCAACAGAGCACAGCACACUCACAGGGAGAGCUGGCCAUGGUCUCAAAGGACAGUCUCUGAGUUGACCAGAAUUCCACCAAGUGACAAUCUACUGGAGCCAACCACCAAUAUCCUUUGGUCCAAGGAAUAGAAAACCUCCCCAAAUGUGAACAUGCCAAUGGAGACAUUGUGUCUCCAUUGAAUUUUUGCAUAAUUGUCAAGGUCCCUACCUGUCUUCCCUUCAAAGUAGCUACUGUAAUUGGAGUAUUAAUUAGAGUGGCAUGUAGGGCAGAGCUGAAAGUGUUCUCAAGCCACACACAGCUCUAUCAUUCUGGGAAAGAACAAUAUUGGCUCAAGGCACUUAAGCAUGACUUAAGUUUGUGGGACAGGUACUGUCCCUAUGGGCUGAGUAGAAAUUAG
Molecule: non-coding RNA, 979 nt
Organism: Peromyscus maniculatus bairdii (prairie deer mouse)
Lineage: Eukaryota; Metazoa; Chordata; Mammalia; Rodentia; Cricetidae
Source: RefSeq, a predicted model, not a curated record